Molecule: long non-coding RNA, 119 nt
Organism: Notothenia coriiceps (black rockcod)
Lineage: Eukaryota; Metazoa; Chordata; Actinopteri; Perciformes; Nototheniidae
Exons: 3
Source: RefSeq, a predicted model, not a curated record
AUGUAUUAAUUGGAGGGGCCUACUUCACAUCCUCUAGUGGGGUCCGGGGGUACCCCCCCGGGAAGAUCUUUAACAUUUUAAAGUAAAAUGCUUCAAUCUGGUGCACUUUGAGCGCCCAA